This 251-nucleotide ribosomal RNA is filed under the name uncultured prokaryote. RNAcentral's name for it is "partial 16S rRNA". It matches the Rfam family "Bacterial small subunit ribosomal RNA", at positions 525 to 775 of the family's 1533-position model. The record is from RNAcentral.
ACGUAGGGUGCGAGCGUUAAUCGGAAUUACUGGGCGUAAAGCGUGCGCAGGCGGUUAUUUAAGAGAGAUGUGAAAUCCCCGGGCUUAACCUUGGAAAUGCGUUUGUGACUGUAUGACUAGAGUACGGCAGAGGAAGGUGGAAUUCCGCGUGUAGCAGUGAAAUGCGUAGAUAUGCGGAGGAACACCGAUGGCGAAGGCAGCCUCCUGGGCCAGUACUGACGCUCAUGCACGAAAGCGUGGGGAGCAAACAG